UACGGGGGGGGCAAGCGUUGUUCGGAAUUACUGGGCGUAAAGGGCUCGUAGGCGGCCAACUAAGUCCGACGUGAAAUCCCCAGGCUUAACCUGGGAACUGCGUCGGAUACUGGAUGGCUUGAAUUCGGGAGAGGGAUGCAGAAUUCCAGGUGUAGCGGUGAAAUGCGUAGAUAUCUGGAGGAAUACCGGUGGCGAAGGCGGCAUCCUGGACCGACAUUGACGCUGAACCGCGAAAGCUAGGGGAGCGAACGGG
This 253-nucleotide ribosomal RNA is filed under the name uncultured bacterium. RNAcentral's name for it is "partial 16S ribosomal RNA". It matches the Rfam family "Bacterial small subunit ribosomal RNA", at positions 524 to 776 of the family's 1533-position model. The record is from RNAcentral.